GAUGAACGCUGACAGAAUGCUUAACACAUGCAAGUCGAUGGGGAAGUGGUGCUUGCACCCUGGUAACCAUGGCGGACGGGUGAGUAACGCGUAAGGAACUUGCCUGCGGGACUGGGAUAACAGCAGGAAACUGCUGAUAAUACCGGAUAAGGUCAUUAAGCUGCAUAGCUUAGUGAUGAAAGGAGACGCCUGCGGAGAGCCUUGCGUCCUAUUAGCUAGUUGGAGGGGUAACGGCCCACCAAGGCGAAGAUAGGUAGCCGGCCUGAGAGGGUGGACGGCCACAAGGGGACUGAGAUACGGCCCUUACUCCUACGGGAGGCAGCAGUGGGGAAUAUUGGACAAUGGGGGCAACCCUGAUCCAGCAAUUCUGUGUGCACGAAGACGGCUUUCGGAUUGUAAAGUGCUUUCAGCAGGGAAGAAGGAAGUGACGGUACCUGCAGAAGAAGCGACGGCUAAAUACGUG
Molecule: ribosomal RNA, 463 nt
Filed under: uncultured bacterium
Lineage: Bacteria
Description: partial 16S ribosomal RNA
Rfam family: Bacterial small subunit ribosomal RNA
Source: RNAcentral